RNAcentral lists this ribosomal RNA (418 nucleotides) under uncultured bacterium. RNAcentral describes it as "bacterial SSU rRNA". It matches the Rfam family "Bacterial small subunit ribosomal RNA", at positions 29 to 430 of the family's 1533-position model. The record is from RNAcentral.
AACGAACGCUGGCGGCGUGCCUAACACAUGCAAGUCGUGCGAGAAAGUUCCUUCGGGAGCGAGUAAAGCGGCGCACGGGUGAGUAACACGUAGGUAACCUGCCCCCCAGUCUGGAACAACUAGAGGAAACUCUAGCUAAUGCCGGAUGAGACCACGAUCCCUUCGGGGGUUGCGGCCAAAGAUGGCCUCUACUUGUAAGCUAUCGCUGAGGGAUGGGCCUGCGGGCCAUUAGCUUGUUGGUGAGGUAACGGCUCACCAAGGCUGUGAUGGCUAGCUGGUCUGAGAGGAUGACCAGCCACACUGGGACUGAGACACGGCCCAGACUCCUACGGGAGGCAGCAGUGGGAAUAUUGCGCAAUGGGCGAAAGCCUGACGCAGCGACGCCGCGUGGGUGAUGAAGGCCUUCGGGUCGGUAACG